CCUACGGGAGGCAGCAGUGAGGAAUAUUGGUCAAUGGGCGAGAGCCUGAACCAGCCAAGUCGCGUGAGGGAGUACUGCCCUAUGGGUUGUAAACCUCUUUUGUCGGAGAACAAAACCCGGGACGUGUCCCGGACUGCGUGUAUCCGAAGAAAAAGCAUCGGCGAACUCCGUGCCAGCAGCCGCGGUAAUACGGAGGAUGCGAGCGUUAUCCGGAUUUAUUGGGGUUAAAGGGUGCGUAGGCGGGCCUGUAAGUCAGCGGUAAAAUUGCGGGGCUCAACCCCGUAGAGCCGUUGAAACUGGCGGACGUGAGUUGGCGAGAAGUACGCGGAAUGCGCGGUGUAGCGGUGAAAUGCAUAGAUAUCGCGCAGAACUCCGAUUGCGAAGGCAGCGUACCGGCGCCAGACUGACGCUGAGGCACGAAAGCGUGGGGAUCGAACAGGAUUAGAUACCCCAGUAGUC
This 459-nucleotide ribosomal RNA is filed under the name uncultured bacterium. RNAcentral describes it as "partial 16S ribosomal RNA". It matches the Rfam family "Bacterial small subunit ribosomal RNA", at positions 338 to 795 of the family's 1533-position model. The record is from RNAcentral.